AUACUGACCUGGCCGGGAAGAUAACAUGACCACGAAGGUGGUUUUCCCAGGGCGAGGCUUAUCCAUUGCACACUGGAUGUGCUGAUCCCUGCGAUUUCCCCGAAUGUUGGAAAUGCGACUGCAUAGUUUGGAGUUAUGGGGGACUGUGUUUGUGCUCUCCCCUA
Small nuclear RNA from Sorex fumeus (smoky shrew), 164 nucleotides. RefSeq annotates it as U1 spliceosomal RNA. The transcript has a single exon. Lineage: Eukaryota; Metazoa; Chordata; Mammalia; Eulipotyphla; Soricidae. The record is from RefSeq and is a predicted model, not a curated record.